RNAcentral lists this ribosomal RNA (253 nucleotides) under uncultured bacterium. RNAcentral describes it as "partial 16S ribosomal RNA". It matches the Rfam family "Bacterial small subunit ribosomal RNA", at positions 524 to 776 of the family's 1533-position model. The record is from RNAcentral.
UACGUAGGGCGCAAGCGUUGUCCGGAAUCACUGGGCGUAAAGGGUGCGUAGGCGGGUCUUUAAGUCAGGGGUGAAAUCCUGGAGCUCAACUCCAGAACUGCCUUUGAUACUGAAGAUCUUGAGUCCGGGAGAGGUGAGUGGAACUGCGAGUGUAGAGGUGAAAUUCGUAGAUAUUCGGAAGAACACCAGUGGCGAAGGCGGCUCACUGGACUGGUAUUGACGCUGAGGUGCGAAAGCGUGGGGAGCAAACAGG